RNAcentral lists this non-coding RNA (22 nucleotides) under Mus musculus (house mouse). RNAcentral also lists the same sequence under 3 other names. Lineage: Eukaryota; Metazoa; Chordata; Mammalia; Rodentia; Muridae. The record is from RNAcentral.
AAGGUUUCCGUAGGUGAACCUG